Tetranychus urticae (two-spotted spider mite) is the source of this 1362-nucleotide long non-coding RNA. RefSeq lists it as uncharacterized. NCBI's taxonomy places the organism in Eukaryota, Metazoa, Arthropoda, Arachnida, Trombidiformes, Tetranychidae. The record is from RefSeq and is a predicted model, not a curated record.
UUGUUGCUAAAUUGUUUGAGUAUCAAGUUUUUCAAUUUGUCUGUACAAUAAAAAUGUUUCACCACUUUGGUUGAAAAUUUAAAUGCUUUUUAACCCAAAGAGUUUAACCAGAAAACCAGUUUUUUAGACUUGGGUAUUAAUAAAUGGUAACGUAUCAAAACAAAUGAAACCAGUGUAAGUGUAAAUGGCUGUUAUGAACAUUUCAAAUCAUUACAGUCUUCAUCCUUUCAAAGACAUAUUCAUGAUAAAUUGGUUUGACUAUUAAAACUGGAAAACAAACAUUUCUGGAGAUCAUCUUUACCUCUGGUCAAUCUGUUUCCUCUCUCAUCAAAGUAUAUCUCAGUGUGUAGAGUCACAGAAUAGGAAAUAAAUUUCAGAUUCCCUGAUCUCUAGUCCCUGGUGAAACACUUACUUAUACAAUUUUUUAGAAAACAUUCUUUCCUGUUUUCUUGGAUUCCCUGUUAACUACUGUAAAGGUAAUUGUAAACAUACUUGAGAGGUUGUCCUUCAAUUGAUUGUAUUUGUAAUUUACUCCAAUUAUCAUUGGUAAAAGUUAUCAGAGGCUAUUUUUACGGAUUUGAAAUAUAAAUGAUUCAGGUUGAAUCUCGAUAUCAUUUGCAUCAUUUGCUGAGGUUUCCCUGGUUAUUUCACCAAUCUCGGAAUUCAUCUUCAAAGGUAAAAUGCCAAUUGAUGAUUGAAUUUCAUUUAUAUUGGUUUCCAAAUGAUAGACAACUCAAAAGAUGAAACAUGAAAAGAUGGAAAUUUCAUCGCAAGAAUUAGUAAUUACGGGUUUGCUCAUCAACCUAUGAUUGUCUCUCCAAAUCAAUAUCAAAAUCAUUGAUUAUUAACAGUUGCAUUCCCUUAAAUUGAAGUGAAACAUUUUUUCAAUGUAAUUCAAUCUAUUUCAGUGAUGAUAGGAAUUUCAAUAUUUAUUGAUGUAAUUUCAGGAACAGUUCAGUCAUUUCAGUUGACACACAUGAUCAAAACUGUUGAUUACAGGCUUUAACCUUUUCUAAUAACACAAAAUUAUAUCAACAUUGAGAGCCAUAGAAACAGCAACAGUUAUAAUCAACUGUUCAUUACAUCGGUUAUACAAAGCGCUCAGCCUUUCUACCUUGCGUAUUGUCACUGAUUAAUUGGCACAAUUAUAACCAUCAGGGAUUGGUUACAAUGGGCAAGUUAAUUGGAAAGUCAAUAUUAGUUAAUUGUCAUUAGAGCACAUUUAAUAACAGGUAAGAUAAUAAUCACGGAAACAAAUUUUAUAAUCCAUUGAAAUUAAAUUGGGUUCCCUGGUUGAGCAACAAAAUGGCUUUCACUUGUUUUUUAAUGUUAAUAGCUUGUCAUCAUAAUGGGCUAAUUAAA